AGAGUUUGAUCAUGGCUCAGAUUGAACGCUGGCGGCAGGCCUAACACAUGCAAGUCGAGCGGUAGCACAGAGAGCUUGCUCUCGGGUGACGAGCGGCGGACGGGUGAGUAAUGUCUGGGAAACUGCCUGAUGGAGGGGGAUAACUACUGGAAACGGUAGCUAAUACCGCAUAAUGUCGCAAGACCAAAGUGGGGGACCUUCGGGCCUCAUGCCAUCAGAUGUGCCCAGAUGGGAUUAGCUAGUAGGUGGGGUAACGGCUCACCUAGGCGACGAUCCCUAGCUGGUCUGAGAGGAUGACCAGCCACACUGGAACUGAGACACGGUCCAGACUCCUACGGGAGGCAGCAGUGGGGAAUAUUGCACAAUGGGCGCAAGCCUGAUGCAGCCAUGCCGCGUGUGUGAAGAAGGCCUUCGGGUUGUAAAGCACUUUCAGCGGGGAGGAAGGCGAUAAGGUUAAUAACCUUGUCGAUUGACGUUACCCGCAGAAGAAGCACCGGCUAACUCCGUGCCAGCAGCCGCGGUAAUACGGAGGGUGCAAGCGUUAAUCGGAAUUACUGGGCGUAAAGCGCACGCAGGCGGUCUGUCAAGUCGGAUGUGAAAUCCCCGGGCUCAACCUGGGAACUGCAUUCGAAACUGGCAGGCUAGAGUCUUGUAGAGGGGGGUAGAAUUCCAGGUGUAGCGGUGAAAUGCGUAGAGAUCUGGAGGAAUACCGGUGGCGAAGGCGGCCCCCUGGACAAAGACUGACGCUCAGGUGCGAAAGCGUGGGGAGCAAACAGGAUUAGAUACCCUGGUAGUCCACGCCGUAAACGAUGUCGAUUUGGAGGUUGUGCCCUUGAGGCGUGGCUUCCGGAGCUAACGCGUUAAAUCGACCGCCUGGGGAGUACGGCCGCAAGGUUAAAACUCAAAUGAAUUGACGGGGGCCCGCACAAGCGGUGGAGCAUGUGGUUUAAUUCGAUGCAACGCGAAGAACCUUACCUGGUCUUGACAUCCACAGAACUUUCCAGAGAUGGAUUGGUGCCUUCGGGAACUGUGAGACAGGUGCUGCAUGGCUGUCGUCAGCUCGUGUUGUGAAAUGUUGGGUUAAGUCCCGCAACGAGCGCAACCCUUAUCCUUUGUUGCCAGCGGUUCGGCCGGGAACUCAAAGGAGACUGCCAGUGAUAAACUGGAGGAAGGUGGGGAUGACGUCAAGUCAUCAUGGCCCUUACGACCAGGGCUACACACGUGCUACAAUGGCAUAUACAAAGAGAAGCGACCUCGCGAGAGCAAGCGGACCUCAUAAAGUAUGUCGUAGUCCGGAUUGGAGUCUGCAACUCGACUCCAUGAAGUCGGAAUCGCUAGUAAUCGUAGAUCAGAAUGCUACGGUGAAUACGUUCCCGGGCCUUGUACACACCGCCCGUCACACCAUGGGAGUGGGUUGCAAAAGAAGUAGGUAGCUUAACCUUCGGGAGGGCGCUUACCACUUUGUGAUUCAUGACUGGGGUGAAGUCGUAACAAGGUAACCGUAGGGGAACCUGCGGUUGGAUCACCU
This 1528-nucleotide ribosomal RNA is filed under the name Klebsiella pneumoniae. RNAcentral describes it as "bacterial SSU rRNA". It matches the Rfam family "Bacterial small subunit ribosomal RNA". The record is from RNAcentral. Lineage: Bacteria; Pseudomonadati; Pseudomonadota; Gammaproteobacteria; Enterobacterales; Enterobacteriaceae. RNAcentral also lists the same sequence under 3 other names.